RNAcentral lists this long non-coding RNA (950 nucleotides) under Gouania willdenowi (blunt-snouted clingfish). Its description in RNAcentral is "lncRNA (ENSGWIG00000007744.1)". Lineage: Eukaryota; Metazoa; Chordata; Actinopteri; Blenniiformes; Gobiesocidae. The record is from RNAcentral.
ACGUAGUUAGUGGCAGUUUGUUUACGAUGGACGUUUGUGAUGAUGUCAUCAACAGGGUUUGUGUCACCUCAGUGAAGCUUUGGACUCGUUGGUAAAAAGUUUCCUCCUGACGAAGAAGGAGUUACGCCGCCUGACGAAGCAGCAUGGAGCAGACCUGGGUUGUCUUGACCCCAAACGGACGUUGAAGGGGCAGAUCUACUCCUCUGUGUAUCUCAUGAGGAAGCUGAAGAAGCAUCAGGAGCAGCUCUGUGAGACUCCGCCCCCCUCCUUCCCUUUUCAGCCCGUGUGCUCGUCCACUCCACGAACCCCCCCACAGUUUUCAGCUGAUCCUGGUGAGAUGAAGGAACUGAGGUCAACCAGAGAAGGAAGUGACAACGACUACAAACACACACUCACCUCUCACUUCCUCCCGCCUCUGAGCGAUGCUCGCACACACAUGGAUCAAAGCAGUCAGUCCAGCUGCUUCCCUGGUCCUGUACCCAGCACCACCAGGACCACCACCAGAACCAGAACCAGUAGCAGUAGCAGUAGCAGUACCACCAGCAGCAGUAGCAGGAGGAGGAGGAUCAUACCUGGAGAGAGGAGGAGCUCCAAAGUUCAAUCGCAAGACGGGAUCAUCUCUCCAGAACGGGACAGUGGCUUCAUUAGGUCAGAGAGCAGCCCCCUCCCCCCUACUCCUGUCCACCAGAUGGCGACAGAGAGUGUCCGAUUGUUCCGCUGUGAUUCCAUUGAGUCCAUCUCUGCUGAGGAAAGCUCCAGGAAUCCUCCGUCUGUUUUUCCCCCACCCACAAACUCCAGCACGGCUCAGCACAGCGUGGAGAAAAGUGGGAGGAGCCGCAGCCUCUACUGCUCGUCACCGCAGCGUGUCACAUGCAGCAGCAGCACAGCAGCAUCAGCAGCAUCAGCAGCAGUAAGAACAGUCAUUUCCCCUUUAAAGACCCUCAUUUAUC